This 879-nucleotide ribosomal RNA is filed under the name uncultured Bacillota bacterium. RNAcentral describes it as "bacterial SSU rRNA". It matches the Rfam family "Bacterial small subunit ribosomal RNA", at positions 1 to 880 of the family's 1533-position model. Lineage: Bacteria; Bacillati; Bacillota. The record is from RNAcentral.
GCCCUUUAGAGUUUGAUCCUGGCUCAGGAUGAACGCUGGCGGCGUGCCUAACACAUGCAAGUCGAACGAAGCAUUUCAGAUGAAGUUUUCGGAUGGAUUCUGAGAUGACUGAGUGGCGGACGGGUGAGUAACACGUGGAUAACCUGCCUCACACUGGGGGACAACAGUUAGAAAUGACUGCUAAUACCGCAUAAGCGCACAGUACCGCAUGGUACAGUGUGAAAAACUCCGGUGGUGUGAGAUGGAUCCGCGUCUGAUUAGCCAGUUGGCGGGGUAACGGCCCACCAAAGCGACGAUCAGUAGCCGACCUGAGAGGGUGACCGGCCACAUUGGGACUGAGACACGGCCCAAACUCCUACGGGAGGCAGCAGUGGGGAAUAUUGCACAAUGGGCGAAAGCCUGAUGCAGCGACGCCGCGUGAGUGAAGAAGUAUUUCGGUAUGUAAAGCUCUAUCAGCAGGGAAGAUAAUGACGGUACCUGACUAAGAAGCCCCGGCUAACUACGUGCCAGCAGCCGCGGUAAUACGUAGGGGGCAAGCGUUAUCCGGAUUUACUGGGUGUAAAGGGAGCGUAGACGGCAUGGCAAGUCUGAAGUGAAAACCCAGGGCUCAACCCUGGGACUGCUUUGGAAACUGUCAAGCUAGAGUGCAGGAGAGGUAAGUGGAAUUCCUAGUGUAGCGGUGAAAUGCGUAGAUAUUAGGAGGAACACCAGUGGCGAAGGCGGCUUACUGGACUGUAACUGACGUUGAGGCUCGAAAGCGUGGGGAGCAAACAGGAUUAGAUACCCUGGUAGUCCACGCCGUAAACGAUGAGUGCUAGGUGUUGGGGGGCAAAGCCCUUCGGUGCCGUCGCAAACGCAAUAAGCACUCCACCUGGGGAG